GGAACUUCGGGUUUAGUGGCGGACGGGUGAGUAACGCGUGAGAAUCUGCCUCUAGGUCGGGGACAACAAUUGGAAACGAUUGCUAAUACCGGAUAUGCCUACGGGUAAAAGGCUUGCUGCCUGAAGAAGAGCUUGCGUCCGAUUAGCUAGUUGGUGGGGUAAAGGCUUACCAAGGCGGCGAUCGGUAGCUGGUCUGAGAGGAUGACCAGCCACACUGGGACUGAGACAAGGCCCAGACUCCUACGGGAGGCAGCAGUGGGGAAUUUUCCGCAAUGGGCGAAAGCCUGACGGAGCAAUACCGCGUGAGGGAAGAAGGCUCUUGGGUUGUAAACCUCUUUUCUCAGGCAAUAAAAAAUGAAGGUACCUGAGGAAUAAGCAUCGGCUAACUCCGUGCCAGCAGCCGCGGUAAUACGGAGGAUGCAAGCGUUAUCCGGAAUGAUUGGGCGUAAAGCGUCCGCAGGUGGUACAACAAGUCUAGUUGUCAAAGACCGGGGCUCAAACCCGGGAAGGCGGUGGAAACUGUUG
This 525-nucleotide ribosomal RNA is filed under the name uncultured cyanobacterium. RNAcentral's name for it is "bacterial SSU rRNA". It matches the Rfam family "Bacterial small subunit ribosomal RNA", at positions 80 to 638 of the family's 1533-position model. Lineage: Bacteria; Bacillati; Cyanobacteriota. The record is from RNAcentral.